AGUGAACGCUGGCGGUAGGCCUAACACAUGCAAGUCGAACGGCAGCACAGUAAGAGCUUGCUCUUACGGGUGGCGAGUGGCGGACGGGUUAGGAAUACAUCGGAAUCUACUUUUUCGUGGGGGAUAACGUAGGGAAACUUACGCUAAUACCGCAUACGACCUACGGGUGAAAGCAGGGGAUCUUCGGACCUUGCGCGAUUGAAUGAGCCGAUGUCGGAUUAGCUAGUUGGCGGGGUAAAGGCCCACCAAGGCGACGAUCCGUAGCUGGUCUGAGAGGAUGAUCAGCCACACUGGAACUGAGACACGGUCCAGACGCCUACGGGAGGCAGCAGUGGGGAAUAUUGGACAAUGGGCGCAAGCCUGAUCCAGCCAUACCGCGUGGGUGAAGAAGGACUUCGGGUUGUAAAGCCCUUUUGUUGGGAAAGAAAAGCAGCAGGUUAAUACCCCGCUGUUCUGACGGUACCCAAAGAAUAAGCACCGGCUAACUUCGUG
This 492-nucleotide ribosomal RNA is filed under the name uncultured bacterium. Its description in RNAcentral is "partial 16S ribosomal RNA". It matches the Rfam family "Bacterial small subunit ribosomal RNA", at positions 29 to 507 of the family's 1533-position model. The record is from RNAcentral.